AAAUGAAUAGACGGGGGCCCGCACAAGCAGCGGAGCAUGUGGUUUAAUUCGAAGCAACGCGAAGAACCUUACCAAGGCUUGACAUCCUCUGACAGACGUGGAAACACGUUUUCCCUUCGGGGCAGGGAGACAGGUGGUGCAUGGUUGUCGUCAGCUCGUGUCGUGAGAUGUUGGGUUAAGUCCCGCAACGAGCGCAACCCUUACACUUAGUUACCAGCGGGUAAUGCCGGGGACUCUAGGUGGACUGCCGGGGACAACUCGGAGGAAGGUGGGGACGACGUCAAAUCAUCAUGCCCCUUAUGUCUUGGGCUACACACGUGCUACAAUGGCCGCUACAAAGAGCAGCGAUACCGCAAGGUGGAGCGAAACUCAUAAAAGCGGUCCCAGUUCGGAUUGUGGGCUGCAACCCGCCCACAUGAAGUCGGAGUUGCUAGUAAUCGCGGAUCAGCAUGCCGCGGUGAAUGCGUUCCCGGGCCUUGUACACACCGCCCGU
Molecule: ribosomal RNA, 493 nt
Filed under: uncultured bacterium
Lineage: Bacteria
Description: bacterial SSU rRNA
Rfam family: Bacterial small subunit ribosomal RNA
Source: RNAcentral